Molecule: transfer RNA, 77 nt
Filed under: Microthrixaceae bacterium
Lineage: Bacteria; Bacillati; Actinomycetota; Acidimicrobiia; Acidimicrobiales; Microthrixaceae
Description: tRNA-Arg
Rfam family: tRNA
About the family: Transfer RNA (tRNA) molecules are approximately 80 nucleotides in length. Their secondary structure includes four short double-helical elements and three loops (D, anti-codon, and T loops). Further hydrogen bonds mediate the characteristic L-shaped molecular structure. tRNAs have two regions of fundamental functional importance: the anti-codon, which is responsible for specific mRNA codon recognition, and the 3' end, to which the tRNAs corresponding amino acid is attached (by aminoacyl-tRNA synthetases). tRNAs cope with the degeneracy of the genetic code in two manners: having more than one tRNA (with a specific anti-codon) for a particular amino acid; and 'wobble' base-pairing, i.e. permitting non-standard base-pairing at the 3rd anti-codon position.
Source: RNAcentral
GCCCUCGUAGCUCAGUUGGAUAGAGCACCGGACUUCUAAUCCGAUGGUCGCAGGUUCGAAUCCUGCCGAGGGCGCCA